This 6209-nucleotide small RNA is filed under the name Rattus norvegicus (Norway rat). RNAcentral's name for it is "uncharacterized LOC103694180". The record is from RNAcentral. Lineage: Eukaryota; Metazoa; Chordata; Mammalia; Rodentia; Muridae.
UCAAGAGGCUGUGAGGCAGCUCAGCGUCUCCAUUAGAAUUCAGAGUAUUCCACGGUAAUUACAAAACAGCUGUAAUGGAAAAUUGGUAGUCAAACCCAUUUUCCAGCGACUAGAACGGUGAAUGGGCUCCAUUAUGUUCCUAAUUCUCAUUAACUUAAUUUGCAUAGGAAACAAUGAAGGAAUACAUAAUGAAGUACAGUGGGCCAGCAGCCCAGCCCUCACCCCCACAAUGCUGGGUUCAACUUGCACUGACCCACCCCACAGAGAGGGAGAAACCCAGGGCUCCCUGUGGACUGGACCUCCCCCAGGUGACCUGAAGCUGCCCUGAUGGAGCACAAUGGAGGGAUACCACUUGUCUGUAACUUGUUCAGGAUCCCUUUGCCUCAGCACACACCAUGUAAACCCUGAUUCUUCUCCACACCCCUGCUUUGGGGAAGGCUGAAGAACUGGAGCAGAAGGAAAAAGAACUUGUUUUUAGCUCUUCAGGUGCCAUAACUCUGCAUCCCAGAGAGAAAACAAACACCUGCUUGAGAAGCAGUAUUGUUGGUCCCUGUGUAAGAAACAACCAGACGACCCUCCAGAUACAAACACCUUCUCUUCCCUGCAGCCAGCACCACCCUCACAGUUUGGAGCCACAGCCUACCAUGUAUGCAGACAAUAGGAAACAGCAAUGCCUUUGUGCUUCAGGGAGAAGAGGAGAAGGGCAGGAGAGUAAAUGUGGUCGUGACGAAACACAAACCAUGCAAUGCCAUGCACAUCUUUUUCCUGUUGGAUAUCGGGAUGUAUUUGGCUCAAUAUCUAGUGCACGCACAGUAUCAGGCUCACAAAAAUAUGGAGAACUAACUGGAUACCUGAGAAGAGAAGAAGGGAAAGAAGAAGACUGGAGAUGCAAAUGCAUAGAGAACCUGGAGGCAGAAACUAGAGCAGAGGCCAUGGAGGAGCCAUACUACUGACUUACUCCCAGAUUCACACCUCUCAAGACCACCUGCCUAGAGAUAGCACAGCUCACAGUGAGCUGGGCACUCCCCCAUCAAUCAGCAAUCAAGAAAAGACCCUGAAGACAUGUCUACAAGCCAAUCCAAUGGGGGAAAAUUUUCAACUGGGGUUCACACAUCCAAAUGUGACAAGUUGACCACAAGGUGAGUUAGUCAUCACAGAUGUGAAAUCACUUUGUCAUAGCAUCAUUUUUUUUUCUAUCUCAAGAGGAACUGUAGGUUUUUCCUAUUUCAACGUCUCAAUGGAAGAAUGACUGUCUUGAACAUUAAAUUUGGACUUGAUCUUGCUUUCAGCCGCAGACUUCCUGAGAUGUUACAGCCAUAAUAAACAAACCUCCCUCCUGAUGCCCCAGUUCAGAAUUCCACAUGUGGAAGAGAUUAUUUCAUAGGCGACAUGGCGAAGAAUGAGGUAGCAUCUGAACAAUAAAGGUCUCAGAUCUAAUUUUCUGAACCCUACAAUAAGGUUGAUAACUGAGUGGCGGUUAGCAAUGCACCUUAGACUGAUUUGGCUUCUCUUUCCUCUUAGAACCCUGGGCACACCCAGUGGUAUCCAGAUCUCUCUAGGUAUGAGAUAGUUGAGACCCCAGACUGGGAUUGUAUUAGCCUACAUAAGUAGCUCUGGGUGUCUUGACCUUUCACAGUUACCAGAAUCAUCUGGACACGAUGUUGCAAAUCCCAGUAACUGGACCAGACCCUCCCUAGGUUUGUUAAUUUCAGAUGGCUAGUUUGUAGACUUAGCCAUAAUUAUUUUUGCUAAACUUCUGGCUAUCUCCAUCGUAACGAAUACCAGGAGUCACUGUUCUCCAUGAACCACAAAGGAAGAUCAUGUCUACAUGGAUUACCUAGUUCCAUCAUGUAAUAUUGCCUGAGUGAGUGAUCACAGAGACUUCGGUCUAAUACCACAAAGAGAAGAAUCUCCCAGAGUCCCCUGCGUAGAUGCCCUAGAACAAGGACUUAUGAAGAAUCAGUACUGCAUCCAGAGAAGACAGUGCAGUCCUGAAGCCAGAGCUUGGACACAGAGUCAAACUGAGGGCUGUGAAAUGUCAAGCUGCCAGGCAAAAUCUAAGGACCCCAGGCGAAGAGACGGUUUACCUGUAUUCAGAGCGAACCUUCCAAGCGCAGUGAAACCUUUCUGGAGACACCCUCACGGACAAUCACAAAAGUGUCUUUCUUAGUGAUUCCAAAUGUACUAAAGCUGACAAGAAAGAUCAUCCCGUCACACUGGGUUUGCUUCCAGUCUGCUCAGAGAAGGAUUUCCAAGUUUCUCCAGCUGUACUGAGGGGGAAGCUUGGUUCUGGAGCUAAGGAAGUUCAUCAUUUGGUAAAGAUCUUUCUGCAUUGUCACAUGUCGGAAGACAAAUGCCUGAGAGACAGAGAUCACACAAAUCAGUUCUUUUAUCAGGAACCCAUUCUGAGUUUAAUGAGCCUGAGAAUUUUCCUCCAGAGAACGUUUCCCAGAAUAUUACACAGCUUUGGAAACAAAUACCAGCUCCAGUUGUAUGGCCUGAAAACAUCAGUGUGGUCCUAAAGGAAACAAAUCCACCCUAAGGGAGUAUGAUAAGAACCCAACACAACUGUCUUGAGAGGCUUCAUCCAGACGCUGAUGGAAAUAAAUGUAGAGACCCACAGCCAAAACAUUAGACAGAGCAUGAGGAGUCUUGUGGAAGAGUCGGGGACAGGAUUGAGGGAUCCAGAGAGAUCAAGGCUACCACAAGAAGACCUACAGAGUCAACUAAGCUGGGCCCAUGGGGCUUCACAAAGACUGAACCACCAACCAAAAACCAUGUGUUUCUAUGUUUUCAUCAUUAUUUUCAUGAUAAUGCUAGAAGGAAACGUUGUUCUCAUGCCUCUAUAUAUGAAGGCAACCCAAAAGACAUGUGUCAACCUCUACAGCAGCAAGGAAAGGUUGGGAGUGGGAGGCCUCUCAAUACUUUCUGCUUCUCCAAGUGGCCAAACUCACCGGCAGAUCUUGCUGCAGCAAUGACAAGAAAGGUGCUUCCUGGUGAAGUCCUGGAUGAAGCCUAUGGAGAAGGGAAGGCUGCUGAGAACAUCCUGCCACCUCCCACAAUGCACCAAAAAAAGAAGCCUUGGUCUUUAAUGCCAGUCCUAAUUGAGUGGAUGGACCCCAUAGAUAGUGAUGAUGCUGAUAUACUGGGUAAAUUAUUUCCAUUUACAUUAAAAUUACACCUGCUUCAUCCAACGGGGAGGAGGACCAACAGGCUCUGGUGAAGUGGAUCAGAGUGAGAAGAAGCUUAACAGAAUUCUGAAAAGGAGCCUGGUUUGACUCUGAAAGUGUUCCGUAGGGAAAGAAGCCUCACCAGAAAUUGGCCAUGUGAAACAGAACUGAGAAUGGAGAAAAUUGCUUCCAGUUCCAGGUAGAGAGACCAAGACAACAUGAUUGGCAAGUGGGAUAUAUGGAAGAGGUCACUAGAGUUCAAGGUCCUUCAUACUCAUGUGAGAGAAAAAGAAAAAGGAAAUGAUGCAAAGAAGAAAUCAAAAGUCCACUGAGUUCAGUCACCCAUAAGAAACAUGAGGUAAGUGACCCAGAGGUUGAGGGGACCUGGGGCUCUAUAACUGAAUGCUGAUCAACCCUCAGGAGAAGAACUGUAGAAAGCAAUGGAGAGGUAGAGAAAGGUAGAAAAGCAGAUAUUUCUGUAGCACUUACCUGUGUAGCACUGACUCUGGGUAGUCUCUAAGUAGAACUGACGGCAUUGCAAACACAAUAAGCAGUUCUAGACAAACUGGAAUAGCAAUCAGUUUGGGAGCCUGGGAGUAGUCACACUUUUGCUGUUGUCAACGCUUUCAGUGGCUUUAAUUUUCAGUGGUAAGCACAACUUCUAUAUAGUGUUGUCAAAAUUGCAAUGAAGUUAUGUCAUUGAAUAUUAAAGGCCCAACCCAUGGAGUGCCAACACAUAGAUUUGAAUUUCAUGCUUGCCCCUAAACAUCAAGAUAAAUAUGUCUAAUUUUAUAAAAACCUGGCCAACCCCAUGGAGGCUGACAAUUACAUCUAUUGUUACCCAAGUAUGCUAGAAUAAAACCUGGCUCUGAUCAAUGUGUGAGAGCAAAAAUUGGAGGGAAGGGGGGAAAGGAAAAAAAACACAAGAAUCAUCAUAGAGGCAGUUCAAAUUGGCUACCUGUGUUUGUAAUCUCCUUGUCAAAUACACUGAUUAAUGGGACAUUUGAUUUCAGAAGGAUGGGGCCUACAUUUAAUGAACAAUUUUGAAAAAUCACACUGAUAGGUUAUGGGGUGAAUAUUGGGAAACUUGAAAAAUAUAAGACUAAAGGAAGGGAUAAAAAAAACAGACCUGUAAGAGCUCCUAUUACAAGCCAGGCACUUGGGCUCCAUCCUGAAGGCAGUAGCAGCCCCAGCAGGAUUCUAAGCACGAGUGAGGUCAUACUUGUUUCUUAGAAAAAUUACUUUGUCUUCAAAGUAAAAAUUGGAUCAAGGCAGUAAAGCUGGAAAUACAUAGAACAGUAAAGGAUCAAAUGUCUCGUGAGUCCCUGAACUGGGGCAACGAUUAAGGAAACAAAACAUGCCCAGCUUUGAGAGGUAAGAGAUCAGUAUGCCUGUCACUGCUUUGAAUGAUAGGGUAAGGAAAAAGGAGUGGUAAGGGAAGUCAAUUAGAUUUCUGGGUGUGACGGGAGUAUAGUCAGUAAGUAACUCAUGAUUCUGAAGUAUUAAUGUACACUAUAUUAAUUCCAGAUUUUCAAUGUACUGUAAGGCAUGUUAAUUAUGAUAAGGGGAGCCUUAGAUGCUCAUCCUAAGUCAAUUGAGUGAAGAGUCCACUCAUCUAAUCAAUGUAUCACUGUGGUGAUCUGAAGCCCUGGGUGAAUGAGUAAGGAGUAGAUGGAGUCCUGCGUGAAUGUGUGCUGUUGGUAUGAUGUCAAGGACCCCAGAUCCAUGGAAAUUGAAGGCCUUCCCCUAGUUAGACUCGGGGAAAGAGCAAAGCCAAUUUCUGGUCUGAAUGAAUGCUAGCAGUGUAUGCAGAAUGCACACUAAUAAAUCCUGGGUUGUGCAGUUGGUACCUCCCAUCAGUGCUAGCACAGCUGACAUGAGCCUCCCUUCUCUACAUGUGUAUGUCAUUUCUUCAGAGUGUUAUGUCUUUACCCCUAAGUCUCCCAUGUCAGGUUUCCAGAAUCAAGCUGUGCAACACAGCACAUGAUGUGAUAGAGAGCUCAAUAGAAAAAGACAGUGACAAAGUCUAAUUUAUAAUUUAGUCCAAUUUGUGAUUUAGACAAAGUCCAAAGUUAGGAAUUGAAUUAGAAGAAGAGCACAGGGAGACCAGAGAAAGACAAGAAAGGUGGUUUGGAAGAAAGAAGGAGAGUGCAUCAAAAGUAGGAUGCUGGAGGUCACAGGGGCAAAGAAACGAAAGCUAAACUACUAGGGAGCUAGAUGUAAAACCCUAACCCAGGGCAGCCCUGUGGUCCUGGGAAGACAGAUGUGGCAUGGGUAGCCUCUUCCUGAGGCUGGGGUAAUUAGCUCUUGACUGAGUCCUAGUAUUUAUGACCUCAUUUCUCCUUUUCUCUUUCUCCAAUUUUCUCAUUUCUCUCAUUCAAGAUGCAAGAUUCUUGCCUCCUUAAUGAAACAUCUCUUGUCCUACAUUACUCUUCUUGGACCUAACUUUCUACCAUACAGAGUUUGAAUCAUGUCCCAUCUAAGCCCGGAAUCACAUGAAUUACCUGUCUGGUUUUCUUCUUCAUGGGUCCAUGUGGCAUAAAUAAAAGAACUGAUAUGGUUUGGAGCCAAUCAGACCUUAAAAUACAAAAUCUCCUAUGGUCCUGAAGCUGCCAUUGCUCCAAACAUCUCACCCCAUCUCACUCUAGCCACACUGUACUCAUCUUGAUCAUUCAAACACACCACACCUCCAGAUCAAUUUGCCGAUGAACCAUGAGUAUGAACAUAUGUCACAAGCAAGAAAAGCCAGCAAAAAGUAUAAUCAACCCCUUGUGUAUGGGCCUAUGAUAGCCUGUGCUCUAGAUUGUAGAUCCCAGAUAGACUACCUUGCCUUAAUCUAUAUACCUAAAUGCAGUGUACUCCAGUUGCUUGGCAAAUUUCCUGGACCUACAACUGAUACUAAGAAUAUAAAAAAUAAAGCUGCAUAGUGUUGAACAACUGACAUCUGGAUAUCUUUUGUUCCUGCCUUGUAUAGCCAUUUCUGAUAAACAUAGAGGCCAGAAGGCUCUGAAACUAGAGAACAAUGAGAAAUCUACAAAU